Molecule: long non-coding RNA, 191 nt
Organism: Mus musculus (house mouse)
Lineage: Eukaryota; Metazoa; Chordata; Mammalia; Rodentia; Muridae
Product: predicted gene, 30608
Exons: 2
Source: RefSeq, a predicted model, not a curated record
AAAAAAAAAAAAUCCCUAAGUUCUCAGUAAUCAAGCAAGAGGAAGACCAACUCUCUCUUCUACUUUAUCCAGAUUACUAGAUUAGCCUGGACCAUAGACACUCAGAGAAGGUGAAGCCUCUACGGAGCCAGUGUCGAAGCCUUUGACCAUUUUCCUGCAGGGGAAAACUCUCUCAUGCUGUUUUGAAAAAA